GUCUAUGGCACUGUCACCUUGAACACCCCUGAUCUUGUCGGAGCUCAGAAGCUAAGCAGGUUCAGGCCUGGUUAGUACUUGGAUGGAUCAGACAUUGGUCCUCUGAUGAAUGUAACAGUGCUAAAGGGU
Molecule: ribosomal RNA, 129 nt
Filed under: Jaculus jaculus (lesser Egyptian jerboa)
Lineage: Eukaryota; Metazoa; Chordata; Mammalia; Rodentia; Dipodidae
Source: RNAcentral